CUACGGGGCGCUCCAGUGAGGAAUCUUCCACAAUGGGCGAAAGCCUGAUGGAGCGACGCCGCGUGCAGGAUGAAGGCCUUCGGGUUGUAAACUGCUUUUAUAAGUGAAGAAUAUGACGAUAACUUAUGAAUAAGCACCGGCUAACUACGUACCAGCAGCCGCGGUCAUACGUAGGGUGCAAGCAUUAUCCGGAGUGACUGGGCGUAAAGAGUUGCGUAGGUGGACAAGUAAGCGAAUAGUGAAAUGUGGCGGCUCAACCGUACACACUAUUAUUCGAACUGCUCGUCUCGAGAAUGGUAGAGGUAACUGGAAUUUCUAGUGUAGGAGUGAAAUCCGUAGAUAUUAAAAGGAACACCAAUGGCGUAGGCAGGUUACUGGACCAUUUCUGACACUAAGGCACGAAAGCGUGGGGAGCGAACCGGAUUAGAUACCCCUGUAGUC
RNAcentral lists this ribosomal RNA (441 nucleotides) under uncultured bacterium. RNAcentral describes it as "partial 16S ribosomal RNA". It matches the Rfam family "Bacterial small subunit ribosomal RNA", at positions 339 to 795 of the family's 1533-position model. The record is from RNAcentral.